RNAcentral lists this small RNA (689 nucleotides) under Pan troglodytes (chimpanzee). RNAcentral's name for it is "retained intron". Lineage: Eukaryota; Metazoa; Chordata; Mammalia; Primates; Hominidae. The record is from RNAcentral.
ACCUCUUUCCCCCGCCUCCUCUCCUAGCCUCCCCAUCUCUCCUCUACCCCAAUCUUCUGCCCUCUCCUCUGCUUCCCCGGCCUCCCCCUUCUGACUCUCCUCUCCCCUCUUUGUAUCCCCCAUCUUGCCUCCCUGCUUCCCACAUCCGACCACCCGACCUCUCUCCUCAGACGUGGACGAAUGUCGCGAGCGAGGCCCAGCCCUGUGCGGGUCGCAGCGCUGUGAGAACUCUCCCGGCUCCUACCGCUGUGUCCGGGACUGCGAUCCUGGGUACCACGCGGGCCCCGAGGGCACCUGUGACGAUGUGAACGAGUGUGAAACACUACAGGGUGUAUGUGGAGCUGCCCUGUGUGAAAAUGUCGAAGGCUCCUUCCUCUGUGUCUGCCCCAACAGCCCGGAGGAGUUUGACCCCAUGACUGGACGCUGUGUUCCCCCACGAACUUCUGCUGACGUGGACGAAUGUCAGCUCUUCCGAGACCAGGUGUGCAAGAGUGGCGUGUGCGUGAACACGGCCCCGGGCUACUCAUGCUAUUGCAGCAACGGCUACUACUACCACACACAGCGGCUGGAGUGCAUCGAUAAUGACGAAUGCGCCGAUGAGGAACCGGCCUGUGAGGGCGGCCGCUGUGUCAACACUGUGGGCUCUUAUCACUGUACCUGCGAGCCCCCACUGGUGCUGGAUGGCUCGC